AGAUAAUUGCCUAUAAGGGUGCGUUUGGUUCGAGUUAUCCUGGCAGGAUUACAGACAAUUCUGUCAGGAUAACUGUCUUUGAUUAAUCUGCUAUGUAAUCUAGUCGUUAAUGUAGCAUUACAAAUCGAGUAGAAUUACAUCGAAAAUAUUAACGGAAGGGGGGUCGUGUAUCUUGCAUUACUGAAACCCGUUAAUACUACAUAUUAUGUAAAAUGACAAUUUUAUCCUCCAACAACCCUAAAUCUAAUUAACAAUAUUAUUUUCAUCUCUCUCGCCUUCCCCCCGGCCCUCUCUCUCGCACGCUGCUUUCUCUCGCUCUCUCUCUCUCGACGUCUCUCUCUCUCUCUCUCUCUCCCCCCUAUUAUCUUCUAUUGCGUCGUCCUCCUAAGUAAUCAUCACGAUCUCCUUCCCUCCAUUCAUCAUUUUCGUAAAAAAUAAUAUUCAAAUGACCACAACAAAGGCAACUUUGGAAAAAACUAUACUUUUAUGUCAGGAUUACUAAAUUUUAUAAACGGAACCAAACAUAUUAAUGCUAUAAACACUGUAAUCUAGUAUUACAUUACUGUAUUAAACCAAACGCUCUAAUGCAGCAUUAGUAGUAAUCUCACGUCGAAAUCCAAAAUACCUGAAUAUGUCGAGAUACUUUGUAAUAUUACAUAACUCGAACCAAAUGGGGCUUAAGAUCGAACAAGUAGGAAACAGAUAUAGAAAUAC
RNAcentral lists this long non-coding RNA (714 nucleotides) under Ananas comosus (pineapple). Its description in RNAcentral is "long non-coding RNA (ACOM_LNC006313)". The record is from RNAcentral. Lineage: Eukaryota; Viridiplantae; Streptophyta; Magnoliopsida; Poales; Bromeliaceae.